GACGAACGCUGGCGGCGUGCUUAACACAUGCAAGUCGAACGGAAAGGCCCCUUUGGGGGUACUCGAGUGGCGCACGGGUGAGUAACACGUGAGUAACCUGCCCUUGACUUCGGGAUAACUUCAGGAAACUGGGGCUAAUACCGGAUAGGAAUCCUUGCUGCAUGGUGGGGGUUGGAAAGCUUCGGCGGUUUUGGAUGGACUCGCGGCUUAUCAGCUUGUUGGUGGGGUAGUGGCUUACCAAGGCUUUGACGGGUAGCCGGCCUGAGAGGGCGACCGGCCACAUUGGGACUGAGAUACGGCCCAGACUCCUACGGGAGGCAGCAGGGGGGAAUAUUGAACAAUGGGCGGAAGCCUGAUGCAGCAACGCCGCGUGCGGGAUGACGGCCUUCGGGUUGUAAACCGCUUUCAGCAGGGGCGAAGCUUGUGGUGACGGUACCUGCAGAAGAAGCACCGGCUAACUACGUG
This 465-nucleotide ribosomal RNA is filed under the name uncultured bacterium. RNAcentral describes it as "partial 16S ribosomal RNA". It matches the Rfam family "Bacterial small subunit ribosomal RNA", at positions 28 to 507 of the family's 1533-position model. The record is from RNAcentral.